CACUGUCAUAAAAAGGGAAGGCCUAAGGAAGUGAUGAAUCAAGAAGAGAGUUUCUCCCUUUCCUGGAAGACUGCUUUGGAUUCUGUGGGAGCCUUCCUCUGCUUGCAGAUCACCGCCACUAAGUGCUGCCAGUAAACCACAGAAAGGCAGCAGAGUCAUGUAAAUGCUGUCAUUUUUAUGAGAUCAUACUGUCUACCCUUUAAUGGACAAGCUAAAUAGGAAUUGUUUCAAAUCACCGGAACUGCUUUUGUAUUGCUCCGUGGGAGGCGUACAUCCAAGGCAAAAUCAUGAUGAAAGAAAGAACUAUGCACAAAAGGAGCUGAUUGAAGCAUGGAAAAAAUUAGAAGCCCAGGACAGCUGGAUACUUUGCUGGUGACCAAGUGGAUUAUCACCACCAACUGAGUUGCUAUGGAGACAAGAUGGGACUGGAGUAGAAUAUCAGAUGGGAGUCCUGCUAAAAACCAGCAUUGUGUCCAUGAGGAAGAAAGGGUCCCCAGAGGAGUGCUAAAACCUCAGGAUGAUAAAGGAGGGAGUAUCCCGGUAAGUGAGAGGAGCAGUAUCAGUAGGAUCUCCAGUGCUAAACUCAGGAUGAGUUUUCCACUGAAUCCUGUAGCUGGAGUCCCCUGAGCACACAAGCUGGCCAGGAGUGGUGUGCCUCAACAGCUCUUCCAAGAUGUCACUCCUGCUGUCCAGCUGCCCAAGAAUAACUGAGCAUGGGCUGCCCAACACAGGAUGUGACUCUGCCUUGUGUGUCUGCUGGAAAGAAAAGAAAGCCCCUCCUGUCAAUAGCUUUGGAUUCAGAAGGACAUUUUAGUUUUGUCUUAAUUUCCUAAACUGGAAUAUUUCAGGAAGGCGGGUGAGUUACAGAUUAGUACAUCCUUAGUAGGUUUGCAGAUGACACCAAACUGACUGGUCCAGUUGAUUCAAAAGAAGAAAGAGAUGUCAUCCAAAGGGACUUGGACAGGCUUGAAAAGUGGUCCCAUGGGAACCUAGAAUCAUAGAAUCACUGAGGUUAGAAAAGACCUAAAAGAUCAUCCAGUCCAACCAUUUACCUAUUACCAAUAGCUCCCACUAAAAAAUUUCCCUCAACACAAAAUCCAGUCAUCCCUUGAACAAACCUAAUGUGAUUCAACAAGGCCAUUUGCAAGAUGUUGUUAAAAAAAAAAAAAAAAAAGAACUCAUUCAUGGCAUCCCUGCUGUGAAGGACUUUGAGACACUGGUGGACAAAAAUCUGGACAAGAGCCAGCAGUGUGCACUUGGCAGCCAGUAAAGCCUACGGUUGCAUGGAGCCAGCUAGAUGGAGAGUGGAUUUUCAGAGAUCUCAUUUGAUUUUUUCUGUGAUUGUGCACAUACGCUAAAACACCAGUCAGUCUGAGGAACAGUGACGUUUCAGGAGAGAAGAUAGGAGCAAGACGUAUGAAAUGCGUAUAUUUAACCCAUUAUCUUUCCUCUAUAGCCAGUGAUGUUACAAUCAAGCCCAU
RNAcentral lists this long non-coding RNA (1481 nucleotides) under Coturnix japonica (Japanese quail). RNAcentral's name for it is "lncRNA (ENSCJPG00005005639.1)". The record is from RNAcentral. Lineage: Eukaryota; Metazoa; Chordata; Aves; Galliformes; Phasianidae.